This 451-nucleotide ribosomal RNA is filed under the name uncultured bacterium. RNAcentral's name for it is "partial 16S ribosomal RNA". It matches the Rfam family "Bacterial small subunit ribosomal RNA", at positions 354 to 796 of the family's 1533-position model. The record is from RNAcentral.
GUGGGGAAUCUUCCGCAAUGGGGGAAACCCUGACGCAGCGACGCCGCGUGAGCGAAGAAGGCCUUAGGGUUGUAAAGCUCUGUUUUAAGGGACGAAUGUCGUGGGGAGUAAUAUGCUCUGCGAAUGACGGUACCUUAAGAGGAAGCCCCGGCUAACUACGUGCCAGCAGCCGCGGUAAGACGUAGGGGGCGAGCGUUGUCCGGAAUUACUGGGCGUAAAGAGCACGUAGGCGGGAACUUAAGUCAGGUGUGAAAGACCGGGGCUCAACUCCGGGGUUGCACUUGAAACUGGGUUUCUUGAGGGCAGGAGAGGAAAGCAGAAUUCCUGGUGUAGCGGUGAAAUGCGUAGAAAUCAGGAGGAAUACCAGUGGCGAAGGCGGCUUUCUGGACUGACCCUGACGCUGAGGUGCGAAAGCGUGGGUAGCAAACAGGAUUAGAAACCCCGGUAGUCC